AUGACAUAUGCUUUAUUCUUAUUAAGUAUACUUUUAGUUAUAGGAUUUGUAGGUUUUUCUUCUAAACCUUCUCCUUUUUACGGGGAGCUUGGUGUUAAUAAUUAGUGGCGUAGUAGGUUGUGUUAUUGUUCUGAAUUAUGGGGGAGCUUAUAUGGGUCUAAUGGUCUUUCUGAUUUACUUAGGGGGAAUAAUAGUUGUUUUUGGUUAUACUACGGUGAUGGCUAUUGAGGAGUAUCCUGAGGUAUUAGGGUCAGGAACUGAAGUUUUAGGGAGUGCCUUGGUGGGUUUAGCAAUGGAAGUGGCAUUAGUUUGAUGGGUAGCAGAGUAUGACGAGGUGGUGGUAGUAGUUAAUUUUAACAACAUGGAAAGUUGAGUGAUUUUUGAGGGGGAGGGGCCGGGGUUAGUUCGGGAGGACUCUAUUGGUGCGGGUGAUUUAUAUGACUGUGGAAGUUGACUGGUGGUAGUUACUGGUUGAAUGUUGUUUCUUGGCGUAUAUAUAUAGAUUGAAAUUGCUCAGGGU
This 520-nucleotide long non-coding RNA is filed under the name Homo sapiens (human). RNAcentral's name for it is "non-protein coding lnc-ADGRL3-14:1". Lineage: Eukaryota; Metazoa; Chordata; Mammalia; Primates; Hominidae. The record is from RNAcentral.